This 212-nucleotide ribosomal RNA is filed under the name uncultured bacterium. RNAcentral describes it as "partial 16S ribosomal RNA". It matches the Rfam family "Bacterial small subunit ribosomal RNA", at positions 1288 to 1500 of the family's 1533-position model. The record is from RNAcentral.
ACGUUCGGAUUGUAGUCUGNAACCCGACUACAUGAAGCUGGAAUCGCUAGUAAUCGCGAAUCAGAAUGUCGCGGUGAAUACGUUCCCGGGUCUUGUACACACCGCCCGUCACACCAUGGGAGUCGGAAAUGCCCGAAGUCAGUGACCCAACCGUAAGGAGGGAGCUGCCGAAGGUGGAGCCGGUAACUGGGGUGAAGUCGUAACAAGGUAUC